This is a long non-coding RNA of Paramisgurnus dabryanus, 443 nucleotides long. RefSeq lists it as uncharacterized. NCBI's taxonomy places the organism in Eukaryota, Metazoa, Chordata, Actinopteri, Cypriniformes, Cobitidae. The record is from RefSeq and is a predicted model, not a curated record.
CAGUAAGGACUAACGUAAACUGACUGACUGUCUGUCUGUCUGUUCUCAACCAAAGUCAUUCAAGACCUGUUAAAGUAAGGACUAAGGUUAACUGAAUGUCUGUCUGUUCUCAACCAAUGUCAUUAAAGACCUGUUGAAGUUUAGCACAAAGUUUCCAGCACAAGUUUGGAUCUUUACCAUUGAGAGUGGCUUACUGUUCUCGACCAACCAUCAUUCACACGCAAAAACUUUAAAGAUAAGUAUGAACGUGCCCAGAGCAGUUUUCGAUCUUUACCAUUAAGGAGGCUGACUGACUAUCCUCUACCACCCGUCAUUAACACAACAAAAACUAAAGAAAUGUUACUCCAUAUGGACCUAUUCAUUUACUCAUUAUGCUGUGAGUACACCACAGUUUUAUCAGUGAAAAAUGUAUAUUUGUGUGUUUUCUCACUGCUUGGCAAGGA